RNAcentral lists this ribosomal RNA (483 nucleotides) under uncultured bacterium. Its description in RNAcentral is "partial 16S ribosomal RNA". It matches the Rfam family "Bacterial small subunit ribosomal RNA", at positions 30 to 507 of the family's 1533-position model. The record is from RNAcentral.
UUGAACGCUGGCGGCAGGCCUAACACAUGCAAGUCGAGCGGAUGAAGGGAGCUUGCUCCUGGAUUCAGCGGCGGACGGGUGAGUAAUGCCUAGGAAUCUGCCUGGUAGUGGGGGAUAACGUCCGGAAACGGGCGCUAAUACCGCAUACGUCCUGAGGGAGAAAGUGGGGGAUCUUCGGACCUCACGCUAUCAGAUGAGCCUAGGUCGGAUUAGCUAGUUGGUGGGGUAAAGGCCUACCAAGGCGACGAUCCGUAACUGGUCUGAGAGGAUGAUCAGUCACACUGGAACUGAGACACGGUCCAGACUCCUACGGGAGGCAGCAGUGGGGAAUAUUGGACAAUGGGCGAAAGCCUGAUCCAGCCAUGCCGCGUGUGUGAAGAAGGUCUUCGGAUUGUAAAGCACUUUAAGUUGGGAGGAAGGGCAGUAAGUUGAUACCUUGCUGUUUUGACGUUACCAACAGAAUAAGCACCGGCUAACUUCGUG